Molecule: ribosomal RNA, 447 nt
Filed under: uncultured bacterium
Lineage: Bacteria
Description: bacterial SSU rRNA
Rfam family: Bacterial small subunit ribosomal RNA
Source: RNAcentral
AACGAACGCUGGCGGCAGGCCUAACACAUGCAAGUCGAACGCCCCGCAAGGGGAGUGGCAGACGGGUGAGUAACACGUGGGAACGUACCCUUCGGUUCGGGAUAACUCAGGGAAACUUGAGCUAAUACCGGAUACGUCCGAGAGGAGAAAGAUUUAUCGCCGAGGGAUCGGCCCGCGUCUGAUUAGCUUGUUGGUGAGGUAACGGCUCACCAAGGCGACGAUCAGUAGCUGGUCUGAGAGGAUGAUCAGCCACAUUGGGACUGAGACACGGCCCAAACUCCUACGGGAGGCAGCAGUGGGGAAUAUUGGACAAUGGGCGCAAGCCUGAUCCAGCCAUGCCGCGUGAGUGAUGAAGGCCCUAGGGUUGUAAAGCUCUUUUACCCGGGAAGANAAUGAUGUACCGGGAGAAUAAGCCCCGGCUAACUUCGUGCCAGCCGCCGCAGUAAC